RNAcentral lists this ribosomal RNA (376 nucleotides) under uncultured organism. RNAcentral's name for it is "partial 16S ribosomal RNA". It matches the Rfam family "Bacterial small subunit ribosomal RNA", at positions 527 to 896 of the family's 1533-position model. The record is from RNAcentral.
GUAGGUGGCAAGCGUUGUCCGGGAAUUAUUGGGGCGUAAAGCGCGCGCAGGCGGUUCUUUAAGUCUGAUGUGAAAGCCCACGGGCUCAACCGUGGGAGGGUCAUUGGAAACUGGAGAACUUGAGUACAGAAGAGGAAAGCGGAAUUCCACGUGUAGCGGUGAAAUGCGUAGAGAUGUGGAGGAACACCAGUGGCGAAGGCGGCUCUCUGGUCUGUAACUGACGCUGAGGCGCGAGAGCGUGGGGAGCAAACAGGAUUAGAUACCCUGGUAGUCCACGCCGUAAACGAUGAGUGCUAAGUGUUAGGGGGUUUCCGCCCCUUAGUGCUGCAGCUAACGCAUUAAGCACUCCGCCUGGGGAGUACGGCCGCAAAGGCUG